AGGAUAAACGCUGGCGGCGUGCCUAACGACAUGCAAGUCGAACGUCUCUUCUUUCGGGAAGAGGAGUGGCGGACGGGUGAGGAACACGUGGGAACCUGCCCUUUAGUGAGGAAUACCGGCGAGAAAUCGCCGACAAGACCGCAUAGCCCUCUUUGAUGAGAGUCAAAGAAGGAAAGCUUCGCAAGAGGCGCUAGAGGAGGGGCCUGCGUCCGAUUAGCUAGUUGGUGGGGUAAGAGCCUACCAAGGCGUCGAUCGGUAGCUGGUCUGAGAGGACGAUCAGCCACACUGGGAUUGAGAACGGCCCAGACUCCUACGGGGGGCAGCAGUGAGGAAUUUUCGGCAAUGGGGGAAACCCUGACCGAGCAACGCCGCGUGCAGGAAGACGGCCUUCGGGUUGUAAACUGCUUUUAUCUGGGACGAAAAAGGGCUUUCCAGCUCGUCUGACGGUACCAGAAGAAUAAGCACCGGCUAACUCCGCGCCAGCAGCCGCGGUAA
This 495-nucleotide ribosomal RNA is filed under the name uncultured bacterium. Its description in RNAcentral is "SSU rRNA". It matches the Rfam family "Bacterial small subunit ribosomal RNA", at positions 26 to 523 of the family's 1533-position model. The record is from RNAcentral.